RNAcentral lists this ribosomal RNA (253 nucleotides) under uncultured bacterium. Its description in RNAcentral is "partial 16S ribosomal RNA". It matches the Rfam family "Bacterial small subunit ribosomal RNA", at positions 524 to 776 of the family's 1533-position model. The record is from RNAcentral.
UACGUAGGGUGCGAGCGUUGUCCGGAAUUAUUGGGCGUAAAGAGCUCGUAGGCGGUCUGUCGCGUCGAAUGUGAAAACCCGGGGCUCAACUCCGGGCUUGCAUUCGAUACGGGCAGGCUAGAGCUCGGUAGGGGAGUCUGGAAUUCCUGGUGUAGCGGUGAAAUGCGCAGAUAUCAGGAGGAACACCGGUGGCGAAGGCGGGACUCUGGGCCGAUACUGACGCUGAGGAGCGAAAGCGUGGGGAGCGAACAGG